Molecule: transfer RNA, 73 nt
Filed under: Pyramimonas parkeae
Lineage: Eukaryota; Viridiplantae; Chlorophyta; Pyramimonadophyceae; Pyramimonadales; Pyramimonadaceae
Description: tRNA-Thr
Rfam family: tRNA
About the family: Transfer RNA (tRNA) molecules are approximately 80 nucleotides in length. Their secondary structure includes four short double-helical elements and three loops (D, anti-codon, and T loops).
Source: RNAcentral
GCCUUUAUAGCUCAGAGGUUAGAGCAUUUCCAUGGUAAGGAAAAGGGCUCCGGUUCAAUCCCGGAUAAGGGCU